GUGCUUACUCCGGCAGUACAUACACUAAAAUUGGAAUGGUACAGAGAAGAAUAGCAAGGCCCUGGGCAAAGACGACAUGCAGGUUCCUGAAGCAUUCCAUAUUUUA
Molecule: small nuclear RNA, 106 nt
Organism: Callithrix jacchus (white-tufted-ear marmoset)
Lineage: Eukaryota; Metazoa; Chordata; Mammalia; Primates; Cebidae
Source: Ensembl